CGCGUAGGCGGUUUUUUAAGUCUGAUGUGAAAGCCCACGGCUCAACCGUGGAGGGUCAUUGGAAACUGGAAAACUUGAGUGCAGAAGAGGAAAGUGGAAUUCCAUGUGUAGCGGUGAAAUGCGCAGAGAUAUGGAGGAACACCAGUGGCGAAGGCGACUUUCUGGUCUGUAACUGACGCUGAUGUGCGAAAGCGUGGGGAUCAAACA
This 207-nucleotide ribosomal RNA is filed under the name uncultured bacterium. RNAcentral's name for it is "partial 16S ribosomal RNA". It matches the Rfam family "Bacterial small subunit ribosomal RNA", at positions 568 to 774 of the family's 1533-position model. The record is from RNAcentral.